This is a long non-coding RNA of Lagopus leucura (white-tailed ptarmigan), 404 nucleotides long. RefSeq lists it as uncharacterized. The record is from RefSeq and is a predicted model, not a curated record. The transcript has 3 exons. NCBI's taxonomy places the organism in Eukaryota, Metazoa, Chordata, Aves, Galliformes, Phasianidae.
CUCCUCUUUUGGUAUCUUCUAGUGAGCUCAACCCAAGGAUUUUGAGGUCAGCUGAACACUGUCUGGCAUCAAGAAAGGCACGGUCACAUCAUGAAAUGUUCAGGGGUGCCUUUCAUAAUGAUUCUUCAUAUGAUUUCUUCCCUGAUCAUCACAAGUAGUGAAGCCAAAGUCACUCAAGAAUCUGUAAGAUUAGAGAAAUACCCAGUGGAGCUGACUGAAGAAGGGUUGACAGAGAUGGAAAAAUUAAGGAGUCUAUUGCAGCUGUGCUUAACUGGAGCCAGUGUUCAGAAAGGCAGAAGAUGCACUGUAACAAUCCAUCUUGCUGACUGCAGAGCACUGUCACUGAAUUCACAAGCCUUUAAUUUAAGCCUUUUAACAGACAAUAGUCUGUUUUCCCAAAUAGU